ACGGAAGGCAGCAGUGGGGAAUAUUGGGCAAUGGGGGAAACCCUGACCCAGCAACGCCGCGUGAAGGAAGAAGGCCUUUGGGUUGUAAACUUCUUUUAGAUGGGACGAAGAAGACUGUACCUGUCGAAUAAGCCACGGCUAACUACGUGCCAGCAGCCGCGGUAAUACGUAGGUGGCAAGCGUUGUCCGGAUUUACUGGGUGUAAAGGGCGUGUAGCCGGGUCGGUAAGUCAGAUGUGAAAUCUACGGGCUCAACUCGUAAACUGCAUUUGAAACUGCUGAUCUUGAGUAUCGGAGAGGCAAUCGGAAUUCCUAGUGUAGCGGUGAAAUGCGUAGAUAUUAGGUGGAACACCAGUGGCGAAGGCGGAUUGCUGGACGACAACUGACGGUGAGGCGCGAAAGCGUGGGGAGCAAACAGGGUUAGAUACCCUGGUA
This 434-nucleotide ribosomal RNA is filed under the name uncultured Oscillibacter sp. RNAcentral describes it as "partial 16S ribosomal RNA". It matches the Rfam family "Bacterial small subunit ribosomal RNA", at positions 341 to 792 of the family's 1533-position model. The record is from RNAcentral. Lineage: Bacteria; Bacillati; Bacillota; Clostridia; Eubacteriales; Oscillospiraceae.